GCGCGGGAAUUCGAUUACAGAGUUUGAUCCUGGCUCAGAUUGAAUGCUGGCGGCAAGCCUAACACAUGCAAGUCGAGCGGAUGAUGUGAGCUUGCUCCCGGAUUCAGCGGCGGACGGGUGAGUAAUGCCUAGGAAUCUGCCUGGUAGUGGGGGACAACGUUUCGAAAGGAACGCUAAUACCGCAUACGUCCUACGGGAGAAAGCAGGGGACCUUCGGGCCUUGCGCUAUCAGAUGAGCCUAGGUCGGAUUAGCUAGUUGGUGGGGUAAAGGCCUACCAAGGCGACGAUCCGUAACUGGUCUGAGAGGAUGAUCAGUCACACUGGAACUGAGACACGGUCCAGACUCCUACGGGAGGCAGCAGUGGGGAAUAUUGGACAAUGGGCGAAAGCCUGAUCCAGCCAUGCCGCGUGUGUGAAGAAGGUCUUCGGAUUGUAAAGCACUUUAAGUUGGGAGGAAGGGCAGUAAGUUAAUACCUUGCUGUUUUGACGUUACCAACAGAAUAAGCACCGGCUAACUUCGUGCCAGCAGCCGCGGUAAUACGAAGGGGGCUAGCGUUGUUCGGAAUUACUGGGCGUAAAGCGCACGUAGGCGGCAUUCCAAGUUGGAGGUGAAAUCCCCGGGCUUAACCUGGGAA
Molecule: ribosomal RNA, 635 nt
Filed under: uncultured Pseudomonadaceae bacterium
Lineage: Bacteria; Pseudomonadati; Pseudomonadota; Gammaproteobacteria; Pseudomonadales; Pseudomonadaceae
Description: bacterial SSU rRNA
Rfam family: Bacterial small subunit ribosomal RNA
Source: RNAcentral